RNAcentral lists this microRNA precursor (84 nucleotides) under Bombyx mori (domestic silkworm). Its description in RNAcentral is "mir-2807 microRNA precursor family". It matches the Rfam family "mir-2807 microRNA precursor family". Lineage: Eukaryota; Metazoa; Arthropoda; Insecta; Lepidoptera; Bombycidae. The record is from Rfam by way of RNAcentral.
UUAACGCAAAUUUGUAUGGAAUGGGAUCGUUUGCCUACGUUUGCCGCUAGGGGCGCUGUUCCAACUGCAUACAAAAUUAGGUUA